AUUAUAGAUUCCAGAGGAAGUACAUGUUUUUCAAGAUUCUACAAGGAGAGUUGCCUGUAAUAAACUUGGAAAUCUUUAUUCUUUAAAAACAUGAUCCUUUUUUUACCAGCGCUGUUCUAAAGGACUCGUGAUUACAUUGACUCACCUGGAUAAUUCAGGAGACUCCCUAUUUUAAGGCAAGAGAGCCAAGCCAGUAAUCGGGAGCUAAAGGCAG
Molecule: long non-coding RNA, 214 nt
Organism: Orcinus orca (killer whale)
Lineage: Eukaryota; Metazoa; Chordata; Mammalia; Artiodactyla; Delphinidae
Exons: 3
Source: RefSeq, a predicted model, not a curated record